CUCGAUGCAGAGCAGGCCGCGCCGCAGACGCCGCUCGUCGUACAGGCUCGGGUUUUGCACUAGAUGCUGGAAAAGAAGACAUGUGGAAUCAUAAAAAACGCAAAUGUUUGGCUACAUCUCACAUUUGACCUGUUCAUGGCAGAAUGAAACAAAUCCAGAGAGGUAAGAAAACACACUUGGGGAGCAUUACAUAACCAGAGAGAAGACCACACAUACGGAAAACUUGCACAUUCCUGAGCAGAGCAAGCAACAUCUGGAAGAAGGGCAGAAGCAAGACACUGAAAUCCAUAGUAAUGUGGAGUGUAAGUUUCUGGAGGUAUUAUUAACAGUUUUAUUAUUGCCAAGCAAUCAUGUUCUCCCCACCCAUCACCCCAUCCCCCUCUCCUUAAAAAAAAAAAAAAAUAAAUAAAGUCAGGAAGGAGAUUUUGUAAACCAUACUCACGAGAACUACAGGGAGGUCCUACCGGACUGGUAGGAGGGGUGAUUGGCAGAAGUCGAGGAUCUAUGAAUGAAGUGAAUGAUGUUGUAGAUGAUGUGCUGCUCUUUGAAGGUGUACUUUCAGUGGAUGGGGUCUACAAUGAAAUACAAGAGCUGCUUCAGGAAGAUGUCACUAAGGAGCAGACCACACACAGCAAUGCAGGUGCCUCUGAGGUUCGGAUGGAAUGGCAUGUGACAUAAUUAGAUGCGAUAAGCAUGCUUAGAAAGUAGAUAGAUGGUACAAAUCAAAUGACAAGAGGAAGCCUGAGCUGGGAGUUCUAUCAGCACUUUGAUCUGGCACUGCACUGCAAUGAAGUAACUGGUCCCCAGAAGAACCUCCACACACAUUUAUCACUCCCUGCUGUCUCGUCUGCAACAGGGCACUGCUUAAACCUCUGUGCAGCAAGGAGCAAGCUGUUGCCUCAGCUAAGGCAGCUCAGGGUGUGCCUCAUGACAGAGCUGCGAACUGCUUUCAGUGCCACACUUCUCCUUAGCAAAGCCCCUUGUGCUCACAGUGGUAUCAGAGCUCUACUCAAGGCAUGCUGCUCUGGUCUGUGCCUUGUGUAGUCACCUGACACUGGGAUGGAAAGCAACCCACAGACAUGGCAUGCUGUGCUAUUGAUGUAGGCAGGGAAAGGAGCACAGGGUACAGGCCCCUCUAGCUUGUGGAAAGGGGGGAAGUGGAGAGAAGGACAAAAAUGUUGAAUAACGAAGGCUGGUAUGGAAAUCGAGAUCUCUUAUCAGUCCCCUAGAUAAAACUCUUAGAGAAAACAAGGGGUGUGGUGAAAAAUCUCCCUGUAGAAAGAUACAGGACAGAUAAAUGUAAACGGCAUUCAACAACUCCUCUGGGCUGGAGAGAAAUGGUGGUACAAUUCAUUCAUUCUAUAAAUGUAUCUCGUACCUUACUCAGAGAUUUGUUCUGAGGUUCCUGGUUAGUCAGUGGCACUUUUGGUGGGUUCACAGCAGCAUUUGAAAUUUGGCUUUGCUGGAGAAGAUCUGGCAGGAGAUAGUUCUGGUUGUUUAUGUUCCAGAGGCCUUCUUGGGUGCUUGAAAUUUGUUUCCCUAAUACCUGAUCCUGCACAUGAGAAAACACAGGUAAAGUCCACAUUUGUUAUUCUUUGAAUGCUCUGUAUACCUCCUGUUAACUAGGACAAAAAUAAUGAGAAUAUGAGUAGGAGUGCUCUGCAUGAUGCAUUGGGUAAACACAAACCCUACAGAAAGAUUUAAAAGGGGGUAAUUUAAAAGCAUGUGGCAAACACCUGAGAUAUGAAUAUUGGUUUCCAGUUCUGAAGUGCUCCACAAAUGUUAGUCAUCUACUUUACCUCAAGGAAAGAACUUCAUCCUCUGAGACACCUGACACAGGAUCAAAUGACUUGUCUUAGCAUUACAGACUUGACCUCUACUAUGGUCAGAAGUAGGUACUUCUCAACUCAGGACCUAUAAAUAGUUUAUAGUAAAGACCCUUAUCAUUCACUUCAUUGCUACUCUACACUUACUGAAUUUGGAAACGUUAUUUUUGAGCGACCACACUUAGUAGGAUCCAGUACCAGCGUUUCCAGUACAAUGAGUUUUUGUACUGUGGCACUCCUUGGAGGAUCCCACUAGCUUCAAGGAAAUACAAUGCAAGCUGUGAGGCACCGCACAAUCUCUCUCCCUACUAAAAUAGUCACUGGAACACUGCAAGUUUCUGGGAAAACAUGACCAGAAGCUUAGAGAGGAAAAAAGAUGGAAUUUGUAAAGUAAGCAGUGUCCCAGAUGGGCAAGGCAGUGCACAGGGAUGUACCCCUAGCUGUGAAAGGUCAGAGUACCCAAACACCACUGGCACUGGAAUACAGUGAGAGGAGCAAAGUGCUGCAAAAGAAAGCAUCAUCAAACUCAAUCAGCUUCUGGCUGGUUGAAUCCAGGGCACAUCUGUCCACUGCACUGGCUGAUAAAAAAAACCUACUGAAAUCAGCUCAGCUUCUUUGAAUGCUGGCCAAUAUAUUAAAAAAAAAUAGUACAUAACACAGUGAAAGACGUUUGCCUUUUAAAAGCCAACAAAUCAACUUCUGGGACAACGAAGCCAUUAUAAACAAAAGACCUUGCAAAUGAGUAAACAAGCCUGGCAGCUUCUUGGCCAGACACAAACAUGCACGAGGCGCCUGGUUGGUACAUGUCACCAGGGGGUUGUUUCGUGGGUAUAAAAGGUUGUAAGCACCUGCAAGAAAGGUCUUCACUGUGCACCAGGAAUGAAGUCCGUGAGUCUCCUGCCACAAAUGCCGCCUGAACUGAGACCCUGUAUCAGGGUCAGCCUCAGGAGAUAAUCAGCUAUCCAGCUGGCUGGUGGCAAGGAAUUAGGGAGGCUGAAAGGAAGUUGGACCCAGAAACUGCUGAAAGGAAACAGAAAUCAGAGGUGCUGAGAGGAAGCACGACCCAAGGGCCACUGAAAGGAAGCGGGACCCAAAAACUGCUGAAAAGAAGCUGGACCGGGCUGCACAGCCGCAAGCACUUCUGCGGCACGGAGGUGAGCAGCAGGGAACAAUGGGAACAAGUUUAACAAAAGGUGCAGGAGGCGGUCUGCAAAAUCAUGGAAACGAUUUUGCAGAAGCACCAAGCUGAAGUAGAAAGCUUCGAUUUAAGACAACUUUUGGUGUGAGUCUCUCGUAAUGUAGAUGUCACUACAAACAAUGACACAGAGACGUGAGACAAAGUGGGAGCGAGGCUGUGGGAGGCAGCUGCGCACUCUGACCCUUUGUCUAAAGACCUCUUGGGUCCCUGGAGGUCGGUGUUUGAAUCGCUGAAAGAACAUGCGGAAUCCACCAUCCCAGUAGAGCCCACCACUCCUCCUGCGGUUGGGGCCGCUAUAAACAACCGCGAUACGGACAGUGACCCUUUAGACCCCAGACUGGUGAGCCCGGGGAAGGAACCAGAAUUGAUCCCCCCGAUCCACGUGAAGUUUGGCGAGCGAUCUGCAAAGAAGCGGAGCAGGAGGGGGACUUCAACAUCAUUUGGAGAUUGCAUUCGGCUCUCGCCUGCCCAGUGAUUUUGGUUUUGGAUUCGGGCUCUGCUCCCCCCAUACCAGUUGAGCUCUGUUAUGAAAAGUCACACUCUUUGUCUCCGUGAUUGCAAGACCUUGGCACAAGUGACAACAUGUACUGAAUACAUGAUGUGGAUGGGCUUUUGGAGAGAAUCUGCACAACAAAAGGCGCUGGAGCAGAAGCUAUCGGAGCGUACAGACCCUGAGCCUGGGGCUCAUCCACCACCGCAAGCACCCAGCACUCGUCGUCAGUGUGUGGGAGCGGGAGCUGUGCAAAGCUGCUGCUGAGACGUAUGCUUGUGUUUGGACCCUCACUCAUUCCAGCUGUUAGCAUUGAUGCAGUGUACUUUUCUGAACCUUUUAGCUGUUGUAGCAGUUGCUCAAUGCUCCAGAAAAUUCUAAGACAAAAGAUUAUGGUAUGGAGAUCGAGAAGGCCUAACAGUACUGAAAAUAUGUUUAAAAGUUGUGCUACAUCUGAGUUCCUCUGAUAUUCGGUGAAACGCUUUGGAGCAGGAGCACAGCUGAAAGUGGUGAAAAUCCAUUGCCUUGCAGAUGUGAAGUAAACUUCAGUAAAUAGGUUCCUGAUUUUAAAGCUGUUAUUUUCUAUAGUAAAUAAUGUAGUCUUUCUUACAAGAGAGGUAAUCUUUCACUUAUAAACAGAUUUCUUUUUUUCUUUCUAUUAAAAGAAAACAUUUUUUGGAUAUUUGUGGGAAUCCAAAGAUUCUCUUCUGUUACAAAAAGGAUCAGCAAUUGAUCAGAAGCAGAUGCAUGUUGCUAAGUUAUAAAAUGGUGUUUGCUACAUCUGUGCUUUACAAAAUGAUGUGUGUUCAUGUGCAGUAGACUGGCAAAGUAGGAAGCUUUCUCAUAUUUGGUUGUAGAAUCCAACUUGAUUGGCUGAAUAUCUUCAGGCAUUUAAGAAUGUAAUGUGUAUAUUUACAACUGUAUGUCUUACCUGCACCUGCCUGGCUUUCAUAAUUCUGGUUCUGAAUAUGUAAUUUCAGUGAUUUAAUAAUAGAUAUCCCUUUCCUUGGGAAAAACAAACAAACAAACAAAACCCAGGAAGAGGUUAUGCUUGUGUUUCUACAGGUGCUGGACCACAAUGGGCUCCAGCCAGAGUCAUAAAGCCCUGCUUGACUGUACCAUCAGCAUCUGCUGCUGCUUCUUUGGAUCCAUAACAACCUUCUGGGUAUCCUCCCAACCAAAGCCUACAGAGGCAACUGGACUGUGGAUACUGCAGCCAAUCUCUCAGCAUCAAGCAAUGCAACAACUACCUCAGAAAAUUUUUGAUUUGUGGGGCAAAAGCUACGUUCAAAAACUCAUGGGUUUAGUUUGAUGGGUGGUAUCACUGUUUGGGACCCUGGGUCGGAAAGGUGAUGCAGAUUAUUGUGUUUUUUGGUUUUUGCAUAUUUGUAGAUAUAUAUUCUUUAUAUUAACAAGGAGAUCAACCAAGUGCUUGUUGCUCAUACUAAUAAAGAAGGGGGAGAUGUGGGACAAAGAAAGACAUUAUGAACAAAAGACCUUGCAAAUGUGUAAACAAGCUUGGUAGCUACUUGUGCCAGAUGUAAACACGCACAAGGCGCCUGGUUGGUACAUGUGACCAAGGGGUUGUUGCACGGGUAUAAAAGGUUGUAAGCACAUACAAUAAAGGUCUUCGUUCUGCACCAGCAAUGGAGUCCGUGACUCUCCUGCCACAUCAACUAGGAAUAUAAUUGACGGUGUAAGCAUUUUUACAUUUUAAUUCUUAUAUUUAAAAAAGCAACAGAAAAAUAUACAUCAGUAUUUGAGUUCAGGGUAUCAAACCAGUAUGGCACUUUUAAAUUCAGUUCCAAGACAGGUUCAGCUGAACUAAGCCAAACCCCCGUUUGAAUCUUUUGGGAAGCAUGGUACACCCAAAUCACUUCACAGUGGGCCAAGAAAAG
RNAcentral lists this long non-coding RNA (5412 nucleotides) under Gallus gallus (chicken). The record is from RNAcentral. Lineage: Eukaryota; Metazoa; Chordata; Aves; Galliformes; Phasianidae.